CCAGCUAAGCAGUAGGUUCUUAGGAAAACUGUGUGUCUUGGAGAAUGAAUUUCCAUCAGAGGUAAGUGAUUGGCAUGCUUUUUUCUGUUUUUGAUUAAAAAUAAUUUUAAUAUAAUAUUUUACUAGAUUGUCUGACCAGAAAAGAAAUUACUAAAAAUCAUAGCUAUAGAGGCACUUUAACAAAAUAAAUAUUUAAUACCUGGGACCUAUUUGGUACUUUUCUCUUUGCCCCUUCUUAUUACAAGUACCUGAAUUCUCAUGCUUGAUUGCCAGAUGGGAUCUUGAAGUGUCUGGCCAAGUCCUGUGGGGGUCAGAGCCCUCUGUUGCGGCUGAGCCUUGGACCAGCAGUGAUCAGAAACCUUUCCUGGGGGGAGGCUUUUGUUUGCUUGCAGGAAUGUUUCUGGGCCACCACCCCAGGUAGCCCAUUCACCGUCCUGGCAGGGAGAGCUCAUAAAAGAGGCAGCCUAUUUCACUUUUUUCUUUCCUCCUUAUCAACUGGGACAGUUUGUUUUUCCCUCUGACUCAUAGAUCCGGAAUUUCAGGACUAGAAAGGGGCUCCCCUGCUGUUUUCUUCAAGUGACAAAAAGACAAAGAUAGAGUUUAGCUACCUAUAGUGCAUUUUACUUCAGCAUGAAGAAUACUUAUAAUUGUCUUUUCCAAUCAGACAUUUUCCUAGCCAGUUUGUUUACCUUAUUUUGAUUUUGAGGAGGCCCAUUUCCUACCUUGUUUUCGUUUGUCUUAUUUUUUACUGGUCUUAGCUGGGUCUUUUGUGAGCUGCUAAUUUGCUCUCUGGUCUCUUAGCAACCAGGAACUUUUCCAGCUUGCUGCUGAAUCAGACCUUGGAGUUGCAAAGUUUAUAACAGAACCUGCUGAAGGACAGUAUCUCUCCUAGAGCCAGCAAUUUUAAACCAAUGUUUGAACAAGAAAAUUAACCAGGGUUUCAGGACAUGUACAUUCACAAAGGCAACAACUACAAAACAAAUGUCUGGCUCUCCAGAAUGGUUCCAUUCUCUUCCGCUCCCAGCCCCAGAUGGCCAAGUGCUCUCUGGCUUACUUUGUCUUCCCUCCUGCAGCACAAGGCAUUUCCCAUUCCCUGUUCUUGGGCUGAUGUGAAGCAAAUGGAGCCUGCUCAGAUAGGAAACAACUGUGCCCUGCCUGGAGGAGAACCAGAAAGGGGUUCUGGGUCUGCUGCUUGUUAGCAGGGGGUCAGGGCCAGCUGGUCACAUGGUCUUUGACAGUUUCAUUCCACACGUAUUUAUUUCACGCCCACUAGGUGCUAGGCCUCAGCACAGGGAAAUGCAUAGAAUACAGCUGUGUCCCUUUAGAGCCUGUAGUCUAGUGAAGACAAACAUAAAUAAUCUGGUUGCUAUCCGUGUGACAAGCCUGCACUCACGAUAUAAACAAAGGACCGUGGCAGGAGAGAGGAGAACUUUGCCUGGGCAGAGGAGUGAAAGCCUAUGUGAACUGACCACACUGGAGGCAGGUGAGGGGAUGUGCAGUGUGAGGAGGCAGAGGCUACCUCUCUCCACCUUCAGCACAUGUGCUGCAAGUCACACACUCCUGGCAUUGGUCACCUGGGGGAAGGGAGCCCAAGAAUAUUAGCCAACAUGAGAGUUUACUAGUUCUUCAGGUUGUCUAUGACGAUGUAAAAAACUGCUCCAAAGCUUUGUGGCAUGAAACAACCACUAUUUUAUUGUGAUCCCAAAUUCUGUGGGUCAGAAGUUAGAAAAAAGCACAGAGGUGGAUCUUUCAGGGGAGGACUGGAAUGGGGGUGCUUUCAACCACUGGGGGCUGGAGGAUCCACUUCCAAUAGUUUUUUCACUCAUAUGUCUGGCAGCUGGGCUGGGCUGGCUUACGGGUGGGCUCAGCUGAGAGAGCAUGGAGUUCUCAGGAUUGUUAGACUUUUUUUUUUUUUUUUGAGACAGAGCAAGGCUGGAGUGCAGUGUUUUAAUCUUGGUUCACUGCAACCUCCGCCUCCGGGAUUCAAGAGAUCCUUCCACCUCAGCUCCGGAGUAAGUAGGAUUACAGGUGUGCACCACCAUAUCCUGCUAAUUUUUUUGUAUCUUUAGUAGAGACAGGGUUUCACCAUGCUGGCCAGGCUGGUCUUGAACUCCGGACCUCCGAGGUGAUCCACCCACCUCGGCCUCCCAAAGUGCUGGGAUUACAGGCGUGAGCCACAGCACCCAACCCAUUGGACUUCUUACAUGAAGGCUCUGAGAGAAAAUAAAUGUCCUUUGAGAGCUAGGCUGAAGCUGUAUGGCCUUCUAUGCACCCUGCCUUGGAAGUUACAUAGCAUUCAUUCCAAAUGUACUAUUGGUGGGAGGUGCCAAGGACCCAUUCAAAUAAAAAGUAGGGGACAAGGUCUGCUGUGGUGGCUCACAGCUGUAAUCUAAGCACUUUGGUAGGCUGAGGUGGGCGGAUCACCUGAGGUUGCCAGUUUGAGACCAGCCUGACCAACAUGGAGAAACCUCAUCUCUACUAAAAAUACAAAGUUAACUGGGUGUGAUGGCACAUGCCUGUAAUCCCAGCUACUUGGGAGGCUGAGGCAGGAGAAUCGCUUGAACCUGGGAAGUGGAGGUUGCGGUGAGCUGAGGUUGUGCCAUUGCACUCCAGCCUGGGCAACAAGAGCGAGACUCCGUCUCAAAAAAAAAAAAAAAAAAAAAGAAAAAGAAAGUAGGGGACAUAGAUCUACCUCUUGAUGGAAGGAGGAUAAAAAUAUUUGCAGUCAUGCUUAAAACACCACACAGGAAAAAAAGAGUAGUCUCAGGCCAGGACUUGUACAUUUUAGACUGACUCUGCCUCUCACUGGCUGUGUGACCCCAGGAUUAGGUGCUUCUCCUCUCUGGGCUCUGGUCUCUUCAUCUAUAAAAGGAGGGCUUCACCAGGUUAAUCUACAUUCCCUUCUAAUGAGGCGCAGCAGCAUAGCACAUGCUCCGUAAUGACCUAUUGAUGAGGAGAGAGCUGAAUUUUAACUGUAGGAAGGAUCUCCAAUGGAAUCAUGUGGAUCAUUAAGUAAAAUAGGAGUUUUUGAAUUUUCACACUGAAAGAAACUUGAGGAAAUAUAGUCUGGCUCCCUUGUUUUAUAAAUGGGGAAAUUGAGAUCUAGAGAAGCUACAGGUCUUGCCCAAGUUCUGGAAGUAAGUUAAUGAGGGCUAUUAAAGAAUAGAAGCUGGAGGCCAGGGCGCGGUGGCUCAGGUCUGUAAUCCCACCACUUUGGGAGGCCGAGGUGGGUGGAUCAUGAGGUCAGGAGUUCAAGACCAGCCUGGCCAAGAUGGUGAAACUCCGUCUCUACUUAAGAAAAAAAAAAACCCACAAAAUUUAGCUGGUUGUGGUGGUGGGCACCUGUAAUCCCAGCUACUUGGGAGGCUGAGGCAGGGAAUUGCUUGAACCCUGGAGGUGGAGGUUGCAGUGAGCCGAGAUUGCACCACUGCACUCCAGCCUGGGCAACAGAGCGAGACUCCAUCUCAAGAAGAAUAGAACCUGGGUCUCUGAACCACACAUCCUGUGUGCCUGACCCUCCUGAUAUUCCAUUUGGAAUUUCAUUCAAACAUCCACUUCCAGGAAGGCAUCUCUUACAUAAAUUGAAGGAUAUCUGUAAAAAGCCAUCUGGAAAUUUUCCCUGUGUCCAACCUAAGAAGUUAAUUGGGCUUGAGGGUGUGUUGGCCAGAUCUGGCUGUUUCGCUGGACCUUGCUCAGGACUGGAGCAGGAUGACAAUGGAGCUGUGAGACUGAUAGGGAAGAGGUGUUUGCUUCUGCUUUGGGUCCUAUUUUUUUCAUGCCGACCAUGUUCAGAAAUGGCUCUUGUGCAUACAUAAUAUGGUGACUGAGUUAAAUAAUAAAUGAUAAGAGAGGCCAUGGGAGGUGGGAAAGCAAAGGCAAGGGAGAAGGAAUCUGAUUUCAGCUGAAAUUGGAAAGGACAGUGAGCUGCUGAGAGAAGGAGACGAGAUAGAAAGGCAGAAGAGCCCAGAAGUAACGAGAACAAGAAAAGAGUUGGUGAAAGGAGCUGCGUGACUUAUUUAAGGUCCCAGGAAGGCUGAGAGCUAGAGGGGCUGAAGGGAAGGGCAAACUGAGUGUGGAAAUAUAGGCAUGUCAUUGGGUACUGGAACAAGUGGGAGGUCCUGAAGUCCCAUUUAGUGCUAGGGAAUAAAGCAACAAAAUAGACAGUAGGCCAUGAAGCUUUGGUUCCUCAUGAUAAAUGGGCUUUUCCAGAGCUGGAUCAAUCACAGACAGGGCUGUAAACAGAAACAACUGGCUAGGGCUGAUUUUGUGAUAUUGUUUGGACAUGGGCUGGGAACAAAAUUUAUCUGUGCAAAGCUAUCCAUCAGGGUACUGGGAAGGAUGGAGGAAAGGAAACAUUGAGGAAGCCAGGUGGGUUUUUCUGGGUGGAGCCUUACUCCCCUAUCCAUCCACCCUAUUUCCAGCUCACGCAAAUUCCAUUAACUCCCUCUCUAACCCAUUGCCUCCUGUUCUUACCACAAUUCAUGCUAGACCUAUGCCCAUCUCGUUUCUUCUGAGCCAUUCCAUCCUAGUCCCAAUCCAUACACAAGCUUUCAUCACAUUUUUCAGCAUAGCCUGUCCCCCUCUCAACUCCUCAUUCUUAUCUUCAUUUCAUUGACAAUUCCCUUUAUUUGGUGCUUAUGAGUGAAACAGUCUAAACCUUUGCAGGAUUAGACCCUCAAGAUGCUAGGCCCUUUGGUGCUAGGAAUUCCACAUCCCUAAAGCUAGGCUUUCAAUCCUUUUUAUUUUCAUAAAUACACAAAAGUGAUGUUUUUACAGCCCACUAGGCUCAGCCCAAUCCAGGCCCCACCUAGCUACUGCAAGGGCUGAAGUAUCCAGAUAUACCUGGAAUCAAUUCUCAGCACACUGUUUGGGAGAUUGUGUAGUUUGCACACCCCCAAUCACAACAUAUUUCCCCUAUAGAGUUGUAUUUUGCCUAUUUGCCCUUUGGCGGACUCAACAAGUGACAUCAGUUUCAGUGACACGAAGGCUUCAUCCCUCCUCUGGUAUCUAAGGCAGCAGAAAAAUGGACUAGCAUGGCGGGGAUGCAGUUCACAGCAGGGCUUUCUCAUUUGCUUUAGUUAGGAAAAAGCAGUCAUGGUGUUCAAACGCAUUUAGGGGAGAACACUAUUAGUAACAGAGCUAGCAACAGUACUCAGGUCAGAAAGGGAGACAAAAGGGAGUAUCAAGUAGUCCCUGCUUUUGUGAGCUUUUAUUUUGCAGCAGGAAUGAGACCAGCCUGGGAGGACGUCACAGAAGACUGGAAAGAUGAGAACUGAGGCAACAGGGAGCCGCUUGUCUGAACUCUCAUCUGGACUGGUGGAAGUCCAGGGUGCUG
This 5335-nucleotide long non-coding RNA is filed under the name Homo sapiens (human). RNAcentral's name for it is "non-protein coding lnc-OARD1-1:7". The record is from RNAcentral. Lineage: Eukaryota; Metazoa; Chordata; Mammalia; Primates; Hominidae.